AGAGACCUCAGGCAUCACACCUGGCUGCACCCAUGGAAGCCUUGUCACAUCUGCCAGCUGCACGCAAUGCCUCGGAAAAUAUAAAACACCUAGGCUCCAUACUUUUCCCAUUAUUUUUUCAUUGUGGACUUCACCUCCCUCGCAGCUGGAUUGGUUUUUAACUGAAGAAAAUACUUUUUGUCAGUGCAAAACUCCAUUUCUUCAGUAUUUGCAGCCUCCUUGUGGAUCACAGCCUCACUAUGCUAAUGAAAUGGCAGAACAGAAGACAGUUCCCAGUUAUUAAAAAGAGCUCAUCAUCACUGCCCUUUGGGCCAGAGAAGUAAAGGGACUACAGAAAAGGUCUAUUCAGCUUUAAAAAGGCACUCAGCAUUUCCCGUGGCACCACAGGGAUCAGGAAUGAGCAGCGUCCAUCCCAAGACCCUUGUCUCUUCAAAAGCUCUGUCUGCUAUACCCACAACCAAAAGGGUCAUCACUGACACAUGUUUAGUCCUUUGUAUUUCAUAAAAAUUGAAAUGAGGGAUGGAGACACACAAAGAGAUGAAAGAGGAGAAAGAGAAGAAAGGGAAAGAGGGAAAGGGAUGAAGGAGAGAGAAGGAAGAAAGCAAGGAAGCAAGGAAAGAAGGGGAAAAUGAAAUUUCUCACAAGUUAAAUGAGAAAUUCAAUUCAAACAUAAGAACAAG
This is a non-coding RNA of Zonotrichia albicollis (white-throated sparrow), 680 nucleotides long. The record is from RefSeq and is a predicted model, not a curated record. Lineage: Eukaryota; Metazoa; Chordata; Aves; Passeriformes; Passerellidae.